AGGAUGGAAACAGAAUUAGCAUUGGUGAUGGAGGUAGUCCUGUUAUCACAGGCAAUGGCAUUGGGAACAAUUUCAAGCCUUCUUCAGGAGAUAGUGGCAACACCAUUCGGAUUGGUGAUGGUGGAAGCCCCAAGAUAGAAGGCAACGGCAUCGGGAACAGCUUUGCAGCAGCUCCAGGAAAUAGCGGCAGCUUUAAUGGAAACUCGGCUGGUGAUAAUAGCUUUAAUGACAAUGGCAAUACAGAUAAUGAAAUACCUGUCAUUCUCUAUUAAAAGGCCCAGACCCAUAGAUGUCCAAGCCCCCUCCCAGUUGAUGCAUUUCAGCACUUUCCCACCAUUUGUUAUUGAAUAAUUUCUCAAGGAGAUUGCCUUUGGUCACUACAGUUUCCUCCCAGCCUCCUUUGCAAAUAAAUAAACACAUUUUCUGAAGACAUCAAAA
Sceloporus undulatus (fence lizard) is the source of this 438-nucleotide long non-coding RNA. RefSeq lists it as uncharacterized. The transcript has 7 exons. The record is from RefSeq and is a predicted model, not a curated record. Lineage: Eukaryota; Metazoa; Chordata; Lepidosauria; Squamata; Phrynosomatidae.